This 484-nucleotide ribosomal RNA is filed under the name uncultured bacterium. Its description in RNAcentral is "partial 16S ribosomal RNA". It matches the Rfam family "Bacterial small subunit ribosomal RNA", at positions 30 to 507 of the family's 1533-position model. The record is from RNAcentral.
AUUGAACGCUGGCGGUAGGCCUAACACAUGCAAGUCGAGCGGAAGAACGGAGGUAGCUCCUGGUUACCGUUGUGGACGGGCGCAUAAUUCAUAGGAAUAUCGCAGUCAACGGGGUCUAACGGCCGAAAACGGGUGCUCUUACAGCAUUAGUCCCGAGGACGUACGUGGGUGAGCAUGGGACCUCACGCUAUUAGACGAGGAUAUGUCGGGUUAGCUAGUUGGUUGGGUAAAGGCCUACCAAGGCGACGAUCCGACACUGGUCAGAGAGGAUGAUCAGACACACUGGAACUGAGACACGGUCCAGACUCCUACGGGAGGCCGCAGUGGGGAAUAUUGGACAAAGGGCGAAAGCCUGAUCCAGCCAUGCCGCGUGUGUGAAGAAGGACUUCGGAUUGUAAAGAACUUUAGGUUGGAAAGAAUCGAAACACGUUAAUACCAAGCUGUUAUGACGAUACCCAGAGAAUAAGCACCGGCUAACUUCGUG